CCUACGGGAGGCAGCAGUGGGGAAUUUUGGACAAUGGGCGCAAGCCUGAUCCAGCUAUUCCGCGUGUGGGAAGACUGCCUUCGGGUUGUAAACCACUUCUGUAGAGAACGAAAAGUCUAUUGAUAAUACCGAUAGAUGAUGAUGGUACUCUAAGAAUAAGCACCGGCUAACUACGUGCCAGCAGCCGCGGUAAUACGUAGGGUGCGAGCGUUAAUCGGAAUUACUGGGCGUAAAGGGUGUGCAGGCGGUUUGGCAAGAUGGAUGUGAAAGCCCCGGGCUUAACCUGGGAAAGCCAUACAUGACUGGAAGACUAGAGUGCGUCAGAGGGGGGUGGAAUUCCAAGUGUAGCAGUGAAAUGCGUAGAUAUUUGGAAGAACACCGAUGGCGAAGGCAGCCCCCUGGGACGCAACUGACGCUCAUACACGAAAGCGUGGGGAGCAAACAGGAUUAGAUACCCCGGUAGUC
This 465-nucleotide ribosomal RNA is filed under the name uncultured bacterium. RNAcentral's name for it is "partial 16S ribosomal RNA". It matches the Rfam family "Bacterial small subunit ribosomal RNA", at positions 338 to 795 of the family's 1533-position model. The record is from RNAcentral.